RNAcentral lists this ribosomal RNA (1346 nucleotides) under uncultured bacterium. Its description in RNAcentral is "partial 16S ribosomal RNA". It matches the Rfam family "Bacterial small subunit ribosomal RNA", at positions 28 to 1381 of the family's 1533-position model. The record is from RNAcentral.
GACGAACGCUGGCGGCGUGCUUAACACAUGCAAGUCGAACGGAAAGGCCCUGCUUUUGUGGGGUGCUCGAGUGGCGAACGGGUGAGUAACACGUGAGUAACCUGCCCUUGACUUUGGGAUAACUUCAGGAAACUGGGGCUAAUACCGGAUAGGAGCUCCUGCUGCAUGGUGGGGGUUGGAAAGUUUCGGCGGUUGGGGAUGGACUCGCGGCUUAUCAGCUUGUUGGUGGGGUAGUGGCUUACCAAGGCUUUGACGGGUAGCCGGCCUGAGAGGGUGACCGGCCACAUUGGGACUGAGAUACGGCCCAGACUCCUACGGGAGGCAGCAGUGGGGAAUAUUGCACAAUGGGCGGAAGCCUGAUGCAGCAACGCCGCGUGCGGGAUGACGGCCUUCGGGUUGUAAACCGCUUUCGCCUGUGACGAAGCGUGAGUGACGGUAAUGGGUAAAGAAGCACCGGCUAACUACGUGCCAGCAGCCGCGGUGAUACGUAGGGUGCGAGCGUUGUCCGGAUUUAUUGGGCGUAAAGGGCUCGUAGGUGGUUGAUCGCGUCGGAAGUGUAAUCUUGGGGCUUAACCCUGAGCGUGCUUUCGAUACGGGUUGACUUGAGGAAGGUAGGGGAGAAUGGAAUUCCUGGUGGAGCGGUGGAAUGCGCAGAUAUCAGGAGGAACACCAGUGGCGAAGGCGGUUCUCUGGGCCUUUCCUGACGCUGAGGAGCGAAAGCGUGGGGAGCGAACAGGCUUAGAUACCAUGGUAGUCCACGCUGUAAACGGUGGGUACUAGGUGUGGGGUCCAUUCCACGGGUUCCGUGCCGUGGCUAACGCUUUAAGUACCCCGCCUGGGGAGUACGGCCGCAAGGCUAAAACUCAAAGGAAUUGACGGGGCCCCGCACAAGCGGCGGAGCAUGCGGAUUAAUUCGAUGCAACGCGUAGAACCUUACCUGGGUUUGACAUGGAUCGGGAGUGCUCAGAGAUGGGUGUGCCUCUUUUGGGGUCGGUUCACAGGUGGUGCAUGGCUGUCGUCAGCUCGUGUCGUGAGAUGUUGGGUUAAGUCCCGCAACGAGCGCAACCCUUGUUCACUGUUGCCAGCACGUUAUGGUGGGGACUCAGUGGAGACCGCCGGGGUCAACUCGGAGGAAGGUGGGGAUGACGUCAAGUCAUCAUGCCCCUUAUGUCCAGGGCUUCACGCAUGCUACAAUGGCUGGUACAGAGAGUGGCGAGCCUGUGAGGGUGAGCGAAUCUCGGAAAGUCGGUCUCAGUUCGGAUUGGGGUCUGCAACUCGACCUCAUGAAGUCGGAGUCGCUAGUAAUCGCAGAUCAGCAACGCUGCGGUGAAUACGUUCCCGGGGCU